UACGUAGGGAGCAAGCGUUAUCCGGAUUUAUUGGGUGUAAAGAGUGCGUAGACGGUAAUGCAAGUUGGCUGUGAAAUCCCUCGGCUUAACUGAGGAACUUCAACCAAAACUACAUUUCUUGAGUGCUGGAGAGGAAAGUGGAAUUCCUAGUGUAGCGGUGAAAUGCGUAGAUAUUAGGAGGAACACCGGUGGCGAAGGCGACUUUCUGGACAGUAACUGACGUUGAGGCACGAAAGUGUGGGGAGCAAAC
This 250-nucleotide ribosomal RNA is filed under the name uncultured prokaryote. RNAcentral's name for it is "partial 16S ribosomal RNA". It matches the Rfam family "Bacterial small subunit ribosomal RNA", at positions 524 to 773 of the family's 1533-position model. The record is from RNAcentral.